GUACACGCUGUGACUAGCAUAUCAAUAAGCGGAGGAAAAGAAACUAACAAGGAUUCCCCUAGUAACGGCGAGUGAAGCGGGAAGAGCUCAAAUUUGAAAUCUUAAAGGGUUUCCCUUUACGAAUUGUAGUUUAAAGAAGUGUUUUCUGUUGAGGUUUUGGUAAAAGUUCUUUGGAAUAGGACAUCAUAGAGGGUGAGAAUCCCGUAUUUGACCUUUACUUUCAACUUUGUGAUACACUUUCAAAGAGUCGGAUUGUUUGGGAAUGCAGUCCAAAAUGGGUGGUAAAUUUCAUCUAAAGCUAAAUAUUGGCGAGAGACCGAUAGCGAACAAGUACCGUGAGGGAAAGAUGAAAAGAACUUUGAAAAGAGAGUUAAACAGUACGUGAAAUUGUCAAAAGGGAAGCGUUUGACACCAGUGUUGUUUUUCUGAAAAUCAAUUAAAGAACUGUUUAUGCUAAGUUGUUUAGACUUUAUCAGCUAUCUGUUUAGUUUUGAGCUUUUCUUUAAUGCACUUUUCAGUUAACAAGUCAACAUCAAUUUCUUUUGCUGUAAAAAAGCUUGAGGAAGGUGGCUUGAGAUUCGUCUUAAGUGUUUAUAGCCUCUUGCCUAUGCAGUCGGAGAGAUUGAGGUCUGCAGCGUAGAUCCUUCGGGGCUAAAUGCAUUUGUGCUAAGUUAUAACAUUUUAUAGACAACUUGUUGACUAUGAUUUGUCUUGUAGCUUACUCGCUUAUGUUAUUUUACCUACGCUUAGGAUGUUGACGCGCGUGUGUGCGUG
RNAcentral lists this ribosomal RNA (774 nucleotides) under uncultured Neocallimastigales. Its description in RNAcentral is "partial large subunit ribosomal RNA". It matches the Rfam family "Eukaryotic large subunit ribosomal RNA", at positions 22 to 639 of the family's 3401-position model. Lineage: Eukaryota; Fungi; Neocallimastigomycota; Neocallimastigomycetes; Neocallimastigales. The record is from RNAcentral.